RNAcentral lists this ribosomal RNA (870 nucleotides) under uncultured bacterium. RNAcentral describes it as "bacterial SSU rRNA". It matches the Rfam family "Bacterial small subunit ribosomal RNA", at positions 44 to 917 of the family's 1533-position model. The record is from RNAcentral.
AGGCCUAACACAUGCAAGUCGAGCGGAUGAAGGGAGCUUGCUCCUGGAUUCAGCGGCGGACGGGUGAGUAAUGCCUAGGAAUCUGCCUGGUAGUGGGGGAUAACGUCCGGAAACGGGCGCUAAUACCGCAUACGUCCUGAGGGAGAAAGUGGGGGAUCUUCGGACCUCACGCUAUCAGAUGAGCCUAGGUCGGAUUAGCUAGUUGGCGGGGCGACGGCCCACCAAGGCGACGAUCAGUAGGGGUUCUGAGAGGAAGGUCCCCCACAUUGGAACUGAGACACGGUCCAAACUCCUACGGGAGGCAGCAGUGAGGAAUAUUGGUCAAUGGGCGAGAGCCUGAACCAGCCAAGUCGCGUGAAGGAUGACUGUCUUAUGGAUUGUAAACUUCUUUUAUACGGGAAUAACAAGAGUCACGAGUGACUCCCUGCAUGUACCGUAUGAAUAAGCAUCGGCUAACUCCGUGCCAGCAGCCGCGGUAAUACGGAGGAUGCGAGCGUUAUCCGGAUUUAUUGGGUUUAAAGGGUGCGUAGGCGGCCUGUUAAGUCAGCGGUGAAAUCUAGGAGCUUAACUCCUAAAUUGCCAUUGAUACUGGCGGGCUUGAGUGUAGAUGAGGUAGGCGGAAUGCGUGGUGUAGCGGUGGAAUGCAUAGAUAUCACGCAGAACUCCGAUUGCGAAGGCAGCUUACUAAGGUACAACUGACGCUGAAGCACGAAAGCGUGGGUAUCAAACAGGAUUAGAUACCCUGGUAGUCCACGCAGUAAACGAUGAUAACUGGGCGUAUGCGAUAUACAGUAUGCUCCUAAGCGAAAGCGUUAAGUUAUCCACCUGGGGAGUACGCCGGCAACGGUGAAACUCAAAGGAAUUGACGGU